ACUCCUACGGGAGGCAGCAGUGGGGAAUAUUGCACACUGGGCGCAAGCCUGAUGCAGCCAUGCCGCGUGUAUGAAGAAGGCCUUCGGGUUGUAAAGUACUUUCAGCGGGGAGGAAGGCGAUAAGGUUAAUAACCUUGUUGAUUGACGUUACCCGCAGAAGAAGCACCGGCUAACUCCGUGCCAGCAGCCGCGGUAAUACGGAGGGUGCAAGCGUUAAUCGGAAUUACUGGGCGUAAAGCGCACGCAGGCGGUCUGUCAAGUCGGAUGUGAAAUCCCCGGGCUCAACCUGGGAACUGCAUUCGAAACUGGCAGGCUAGAGUCUUGUAGAGGGGGGUAGAAUUCCAGGUGUAGCGGUGAAAUGCGUAGAGAUCUGGAGGAAUACCGGUGGCGAAGGCGGCCCCCUGGACAAAGACUGACGCUCAGGUGCGAAAGCGUGGGGAGCAAACAGGAUUAGAAACCCGUGUAGUCCCA
This 471-nucleotide ribosomal RNA is filed under the name uncultured organism. RNAcentral's name for it is "partial 16S ribosomal RNA". It matches the Rfam family "Bacterial small subunit ribosomal RNA", at positions 335 to 797 of the family's 1533-position model. The record is from RNAcentral.